Long non-coding RNA from Lynx canadensis (Canada lynx), 1247 nucleotides. RefSeq lists it as uncharacterized. The record is from RefSeq and is a predicted model, not a curated record. The transcript has 2 exons. Lineage: Eukaryota; Metazoa; Chordata; Mammalia; Carnivora; Felidae.
UCUAGCACGCCCGGAGGCCAUCUCUGCGUGUCGUUGGUCCUUCCAGGGCUCUGAGUUCACCUGUGUAACUCUCUGUCCCACCCUCCUGCGGAGCUGCGACCCUAUUUGGGAAUGGUACUAAAGGUAUUUGGCGACCGCUCCGUGCAGGGAGACCACCGGAUGAUACACUCUGCCAGCACCAAAUACCUCAUGGGGGAUGGCUUGAGGACAGGAUCUCAACAAAACCAUGCUGGACAGCCUGUCCUUGGUUAUACUAGGGCCCACGGGCCAGAGUCUGGAUGCUGGUUGCUUCCACUUCUGCUACCAUGUGUUGUUCAAGGCAGGCUACCUGAGCUUAUUUGGCUGUGCAAAGAACCAGGAGCAGGACCUACUACAGGCAGAGGAGUUAUUUGUCCAGUUCCGCAAGUUUGAUCUCUUGUUCCCCAGGUUUGUUUAUUCCUUGCUGGGGCCCUGGGAGUGGCUAGAAGUGGCCCGGCUCCAGCGGCUCUUCCACAGGAUGCUCUCCGUGAACCACCACCUGGAGAAGAAUGGCAUAAGCAACUGGAUCUCCUACAUGCUUCAGUGUCUGAGGGAGCAGCAGGGGCCAUAUCUGUCUCAUUCAAAGUUGGUUAUAGCAGAAUUUCUGGCAGUAGGUGCCAAGUAAAUAUCUGUUGAAUGGAUAUAUGGGACUGUUCCAAGGAGGGAGGGAAUGAAAUGAAUCAAGGUAAGAAUGAAUGUAACAUGGUGCUGCCAUCCAUUAAAAACUGGGGAACAAUGUUUAGCUUAUGCAUGUUGGCCCACAGACAAUUUCUGACUGCAGAUUCAGGCUGGGGAGAGUGGAUGAUUCGGAGUACUUGCUGUGGUUUCCCUAAGCAAUCAGAGAGGACUUCAUGGAGGCAGAGUGUGGACAUUUCCAGCUCCCUGCAGAGGGGAAUGGCACAAGGCAAAGGGAACUCAAGAGCUCAUGUGGAAAUCAGAGGAGACAAAGUCCCUGUUUGCCAGUCAAUUAGGAAGUUAAAGAGUAACCUGAGGUCGCUAGAACUGGUUGAAUUGAGUCUGAACCUCACCUUAUUGCAACAAUGGCCUUAGAGUCAAUGGCAGAACUUUCUCCUUCCUGGGCCUGCUGGCAGGGACCUAGCCUGACACCUCACAGAAGGCCCCCAGUAAAUGGUCAGCUCACCUCACGCAAGCCAGGACAGCAGUGAGAGAAAGUUCCCACUAUACUCUGAGACUACACCCUUAUCAUGAAAUAAAGUGAUUGGUUUGAA